Molecule: RNA transcript, 2843 nt
Organism: Dioscorea cayenensis subsp. rotundata (Guinea yam)
Lineage: Eukaryota; Viridiplantae; Streptophyta; Magnoliopsida; Dioscoreales; Dioscoreaceae
Gene name: calmodulin-binding protein 60 B-like
Exons: 11
Source: RefSeq, a predicted model, not a curated record
UUCGCUCCAUCACCUGAGCUGGUUAUAGUAAUUGGUCUUGCUUCAUAGCAAGCAAGGUCAUGGAGGAAACUGCCACAGAAAUUAGUCGGCUUAAAUCGACUGUUGGAAAACUACAGAUGCAGGUUUCGGAGAUGGAGCGAAGGAUUGGGUUUUUGGAGCGGUCUGGGACGAUGGGGCGGGAGAAGCGGGGUCUUGAGCUUUCUGCUGAAGGGGAGGAACAUGGUUCCAAUGCUAAGCGCCAGAAGGCCCCUGCUCUUGCGAGUGUGAUCGUGGAAACGCUCAAGGUGGAUAGUUUGCAAAAGCCUUGUUCAUCAUUGGAGCCUGUUUUUCGUAGAGUUGCGAGUGAAGAAGUGGAGCGUGCUUUAGCGAAGUUGGGGUCUGCCAGGAUUGGUACCAGGUCUUCUCCUAAACGAAUUGAAGGACCAGAUGGAAGAAAUCUGCAACUCCAUUUCCAUUCAAGGUUGUCGCUGCCACUUUUCACAGGAGGGAAAGUAGAGGGGGAGCAAGGAGCUGCUAUUCAUGUUGUGUUACUAGAUGCGAACACUGGUCAUGUCGUAACAUCAGGACCUGAAUCAUCUGCAAAACUAAAUGUUGUAGUUCUUGAAGGUGAUUUUAACAAUGAAGAUGACUGGACAGAUGAAGACUUUGAAAGUCAUGUAGUCAAAGAACGUGAAGGAAAAGGGCCUCUUUUAACUGGGGAUUUGCAGGUAUCCUUGAAAGAAGGUGUGGGGACGCUUGGGGAACUAACAUUUACUGACAAUUCAAGCUGGAAACAAAGUAGGAAGUUCAGACUUGGUUUGAAAAUCGCUUCAGGCUUCUGUGAGGGAAUUCGUAUCCGCGAAGCAAAGACAGAACCCUUCGCAGUUAAGGAUCACAGAAGCGAAUUGAACAAGAAACACUAUCCUCCUGUUUUGAAGGAUGAUGUCUGGAGACUGGAAAAGAUUGGCAAGGAUGGCUCGUUCCACAAAAGGUUAAAUAAGGCAGGAAUUUAUACAGUAGAAGAUUUUUCUACGUCUCGUUGUGAGAGAUUCACAAAAAAAUUGCGGAAUAUCCUGGGAAGUGGCAUGUCAAAUAAGAUGUGGAAGAGCUUAGUGGGGCAUGCAAAGACUUGCGUCCUAAGUGGGAAGUAUUAUGUAUACUAUUCUGAUGAUACAAGGAAUUUUGGUGCUAUAUUCAAUAAUAUCUAUGAAUUUGUUGGGUUAAUUGCUGGUGGGCAAUAUUAUUUAGCCGAAAGCCUCGGUGACUGCCAGAAGGUGUUUGUCGAUACCUUAGUGAAGAAGGCAUAUGACAAUUGGAUGAAUGUUAUAGAAUAUGAUGGGAAGGCCCUUCUAAAUUUCACACGGAAUGAAGUUCCAUCUGCCCAGGCAAAUUAUUCUGCUUCCUAUGAUCAACAACAUGUCUCUCAAGCCAGCCUAUCAGUUUCUGUUCCUUCUGAUCAAUCUUUAAUUGAUACAGGAGUGACCGUGGGGGUUGUCAUCUCAAGUAGCUAUGGUGGAAAUCAAUCAGGCCAAUGUUCCACUCAAACUGAGCAUGUGGCGCCCAAUGCUCAGUUACAGUAUGAAAGCAGUUCAUGUAAUUCACAAAAUCAGUUCAUCGAUUCUUCUCAGCAGGCCCAAAGCACAAGAAAUGAUAGUACCGGCUUGGUAUUGGUCCCCUCGCAACAACCUAGCUUGGGUUUCCAAUCCAUGAGUCAGGCCUUACAGCCAUCUAACCUCAAUUCAUAUGAUGACAGUACCACCCAUCAAAGAGAUCUCUCUGAUGAAGAUAUACACAUGAUAACUCACAAACUGCUAGGGAAUGAAGAUGACCGGACCACCCAUCAAAGAGAAAUCCGAGUUGAUGAUUUCUUCACUGAGGAAGAAAUUUCCAUGAGAAGCCACAAACUGCUAGAGAAUGAAGAUACGCAGCAUUUGCUCCGUGUCCACAGCAUGGGUGGUACUGCUCACUUGGCAGAAGAUGGAUUUAGUUUUCCCUCAUUCAUGCCAUCACCAUCCCCUAACUAUAACAUUGACGAGGAUCUCAACCACAUAUCAGGCAAAGUUGUCGUGGGAUGGCUUAAAAUUAAGGCUGCUAUGAGAUGGGGAAUAUUUAUUCGAAAGAAAGCUGCUGAGAGAAGAGCUCAGCUUGUUGAGCUCGAGGAAUGAGAAUCUCAACCUUACAAGUGUUAGAAUUCAUGGUAGCAGUUGCCAAUCUCAGAUGACCUUUGUGACAACUCGAGGAUGGUUAGUGAUCACAAAAUUCUAACGUUUAGUGUCGCAACAAGGGAUCCACUUGUACCAUUUAUCUCUACAGCAAGCCGUCCUUCCGUGUUCACUGCUAAUGUUUAGUAAGUUUGAUGAUUACCGAUCAUUCUGUCACCGCAAACUAUGCACAUGAGCUGGAACAAACUCGAACUCUUUGAUGAUUACUGUUGGAGGUGAUGCAGAACUAGAACUUGUUGAUUAUUUGGAUCCUUUAUCUGAGGGUGUGGUUUUCAGUGUCAGACCUCCAAAGAAGAGCUGGAAGAAUAUUGCCAACCUAUCUGGUGGAGAGAAGCUUGAGGAAUAAUGUGUUUGAACUGGCUGACCGACUCGUCGGCAUCUAUAAGACAGACAAUUGCACAAAGAGCAUCACUAUAAAUCCUGGAAGUUUUGUAUAGAUUGAUUGUGAUAAAGAUUAAUCAUGGAACAACGACAUGACGCUAAUUGUGAGAUGUCGAAUACUAAUCCAUCUUUCGAUGUUCGGUAGUAAACUCAAUUACUCGACAUUGCUAUGUAAACGGCUUAUUAUCAUUAUGAAAGGAUUGUAGACACUUGUAUGUAAACUGAUUUAGAAUCUUCAACAGGAAUUAAUUAUGAAGGACU